GCUCUUAUAGUUUAAUGGAUAGAACGACGGUCUUCGGAACCGCAGGUGUAAGUUCGAUUCUUACUAAGAGCA
Molecule: transfer RNA, 72 nt
Filed under: Candidatus Beckwithbacteria bacterium
Lineage: Bacteria; Candidatus Beckwithiibacteriota
Description: tRNA-Arg
Rfam family: tRNA
About the family: Transfer RNA (tRNA) molecules are approximately 80 nucleotides in length. Their secondary structure includes four short double-helical elements and three loops (D, anti-codon, and T loops).
Source: RNAcentral